RNAcentral lists this ribosomal RNA (1257 nucleotides) under Triticum aestivum (bread wheat). RNAcentral's name for it is "partial small subunit ribosomal RNA". The record is from RNAcentral. Lineage: Eukaryota; Viridiplantae; Streptophyta; Magnoliopsida; Poales; Poaceae.
AUGGCCAUGGACGAGUCACCCCAGCUGUUCCUGUGCCCGAUCUCCAUGGAGCUGAUGGAGGACCCCGUCACGGUGUCCACCGGCGUCACCUACGACCGCCGGAGCAUCGAGCGGUGGUUCUUCAAGUACGGCAAGACCACGUGCCCGGCCACCAUGCAGCGCGUCGCCUCCCUCGACCUCACGCCCAACCACACCCUCAAGCGCGUCAUCGCCUCCUGGCAGGACCGCGCCUCCACCUCCUCCUCCCCCUCCAGCCCCGCGGGCGCGUUCAAGCCGAUGGCGCGGGAGCGGCUGCCGUCGGUGCUCGCCGGCAUUGAGGGCACGCCCUUCAAGGUCACCGCGCUCAAGGGCCUGAGGCUCUGCAUGGCCGGGGACCAGGCGGCGCGGGACGACUUCGUGGCCUGCGACGGCAUCCAGGUGCUCGGCCGCGUCAUGGCGCAGGCGCUGGCGGAGAGCGGCGCCGGCGGGGACUUCUCGGCGUUCCGGACGUGCGAGGAGGCCGCCGCCGUCCUCGCCACGCUCCCGCUCUCGGACGAGGAGUCGGUGGACCUGGUACUGAGGCCCGAGUGCAUGAGGCCCAUGGUCGCGCUGGUCCAGCGCGGCAGCGCCGACGCGAGGCUGCACGCCAUGUCCAUCCUCGCCAAGGUCUCCGAGGCCAGCGGCGCCCGCAACUGGACCGAGGACGUAGACGUCGACGACAUGGUCAAGUCCCUCCUCGACCUGCUCUCUGACGGGGCCUCCUCCAAGCUCAGCUCCCGCGCGCUCGACGUGCUCAUCGACGUCACGGCGCGCUCGCGCUCCAGGGGCGGCGCCCGGCGCGGCAAGGGCGUGGUGGAGGUGGGCGCCGUGCGGGUGCUCGUGGAGCUCCUCCCGGAAGCCGACCGACACGUCACCGAGCGGGCGCUCCUGCUCCUGAAGCGGCUGUGCAAGUGCCCCGAGGGCCGGCUCGCGUUCGCGGAGCACGGGCUCGCCGUGGCGGCCGUGGUGCGGACCGUGCUGCGGGUGUCCGGCCUGGCCACGAGGCUGGCGGUCAACGUGCUGUGGCUGGUGUCGUGCGCGGCGCGGCCCACGGAGAGGGUGCUCGACGACAUGGUGGCGAGCGGCGGCGUGGCGAAGCUGCUGGCGCUGCUGCAGGCGGACAGCUCGCCGUCGACCAAGGAGAAGGUGGCGAGGAUGCUCAGGGUGCACGGCGCCUUCUGGAGGCAGUACCCUUGCAUCCCCGCCGACCUCAAGGACUACCUCAAGUUUCUCAAGUGA